RNAcentral lists this ribosomal RNA (497 nucleotides) under uncultured bacterium. Its description in RNAcentral is "partial 16S ribosomal RNA". It matches the Rfam family "Bacterial small subunit ribosomal RNA", at positions 28 to 507 of the family's 1533-position model. The record is from RNAcentral.
GAUGAACGCUGGCGGCGUGCCUAAUACAUGCAAGUCGAGCGAACGGACGAGAAGCUUGCUUUUCUGAUGUUAGCGGCGGACGGGUGAGUAACACGUGUAUAACCUACCUAUAAGACUGGGAUAACUUCGGGAAACCGGAGCUAAUACCGGAUAAUAUUUUGAACCGCAUGGUUCAAAAGUGAAAGACGGUCUUGCUGUCACUUAUAGAUGGAUCCGCGCUGCAUUAGCUAGUUGGUAAGGUAACGGCUUACCAAGGCAACGAUGCAUAGCCGACCUGAGAGGGUGAUCGGCCACACUGGAACUGAGACACGGUCCAGACUCCUACGGGAGGCAGCAGUAGGGAAUCUUCCGCAAUGGGCGAAAGCCUGACGGAGCAACGCCGCGUGAGUGAUGAAGGUCUUCGGAUCGUAAAACUCUGUUAUUAGGGAAGAACAUAUGUGUAAGUAACUGUGCACAUCUUGACGGUACCUAAUCAGAAAGCCACGGCUAACUACGUG